This 454-nucleotide ribosomal RNA is filed under the name uncultured bacterium. RNAcentral's name for it is "bacterial SSU rRNA". It matches the Rfam family "Bacterial small subunit ribosomal RNA", at positions 340 to 786 of the family's 1533-position model. The record is from RNAcentral.
UACGGAAGGCAGCAGUGGGGAAUAUUGCACAAUGGGCGCAAGCCUGAUGCAGCCAUGCCGCGUGUAUGAAGAAGGCCUUCGGGUUGUAAAGUACUUUCAGCGGGGAGGAAGGCGGUGAAGUUAAUAGCUUCACCGAUUGACGUUACCCGCAGAAGAAGCACCGGCUAACUCCGUGCCAGCAGCCGCGGUAAUACGGAGGGUGCAAGCGUUAAUCGGAAUUACUGGGCGUAAAGCGCACGCAGGCGGUCUGUCAAGUCGGAUGUGAAAUCCCCGGGCUUAACCUGGGAACUGCAUUCGAAACUGGCAGGCUAGAGUCUUGUAGAGGGGGUAGAAUUCCAGGUGUAGCGGUGAAUGCGUAGAGAUCUGGAGGAAUACCGGUGGCGAAGGCGGCCCCUGGGACAAAGACUGACGCUCAGGUGCGAAAGCGUGGGGAGCAAACGAGGAUUAGGAUACC